GUUGUCGCUUAAGGAUGACGUAAUCCAGACAUAUAAAUUAGCCCAUCUCCCUUGUGACGUUCUCUUUGAAUCGUUGCUAUCGCUUGACGAGAAAUAUCUUCUCAUCAUGAGAGCGAAGUGGCGAAAGAAGCGUAUGCGCAGGCUGAAGCGUAAAAGGAGAAAGAUGAGGCAGAGGUCCAAGUAAACUGGACUCCCUUCGCUGAAGCGGAGUGCUCGUCUACUUUAUAUCCCCUCAGCAAGAGACUGCUGGAAGCCCAACUGAAGAGCUGCUCGUCCCCCACCUAUGAGCCCAGCCAUCUUCUGAAAAAGUUCCCUCACUUGGUUCUGCAGCGCCAUUCUGGUCUCGAUGACCCUGUUAUCUGUGUCUUGGACAUUCCUCAGACUUGGAUCAGCUCCGUGUUUUUAAAUAUCUAAAAUAAAUUUUGGGUUUUAAAAGUUA
Molecule: long non-coding RNA, 439 nt
Organism: Xyrauchen texanus (razorback sucker)
Lineage: Eukaryota; Metazoa; Chordata; Actinopteri; Cypriniformes; Catostomidae
Exons: 4
Source: RefSeq, a predicted model, not a curated record